AUUCACUUCAUUAGCACAUAUACUAAAAUUGGAACAAGACAGAGAAGAUUAGCAUGGCCCUUGUGCAAGGAUGACACACAAAUUUGUAAAAUGGUCCAUAUUUAA
Molecule: small nuclear RNA, 105 nt
Organism: Mustela lutreola (European mink)
Lineage: Eukaryota; Metazoa; Chordata; Mammalia; Carnivora; Mustelidae
Source: RefSeq, a predicted model, not a curated record